This 125-nucleotide ribosomal RNA is filed under the name Stegodyphus mimosarum. RNAcentral's name for it is "eukaryotic large subunit ribosomal RNA". It matches the Rfam family "Eukaryotic large subunit ribosomal RNA", at positions 1255 to 1336 of the family's 3401-position model. Lineage: Eukaryota; Metazoa; Arthropoda; Arachnida; Araneae; Eresidae. The record is from RNAcentral.
UGCAAAAUGUUAUAUUAAAUUAUGUUACUAUAUUAGAGAAUGGUACAAACUGGAAUCCGCUAAGGAGUGUGUAACAACUCACCUGCCGAAGCAACUAGCCCUAAAAAUGGAUGGCGCUCCAGCGU